Molecule: ribosomal RNA, 292 nt
Filed under: uncultured bacterium
Lineage: Bacteria
Description: partial 16S ribosomal RNA
Rfam family: Bacterial small subunit ribosomal RNA
Source: RNAcentral
UAUCCUACGGGACGCAGCAGUCGGGAAUAUUGCGCAAUGGAGGCAACUCUGACGCAGUGACGCCGCGUAUAGGAAGAAGGUUUUCGGAUUGUAAACUAUUGUCCUCAGGGAAGAAAAAAGACUGUACCUGAGAAGAAAGCUCCGGCUAACUACGUGCCAGCAGCCGCGGUAAUACGUAGGGAGCAAGCGUUAUCCGGAAUUAUUGGGUGUAAAGCGAGUGCAGGCGGUUCAAUAAGUCUGAUGUGAAAACCUUCGGCUCAACCGGAGAAUUGCAUCAGAAACUGUUGAACUU